This 429-nucleotide ribosomal RNA is filed under the name Actinomycetes bacterium. RNAcentral describes it as "Actinobacteria bacterium partial 16S ribosomal RNA". It matches the Rfam family "Bacterial small subunit ribosomal RNA", at positions 355 to 776 of the family's 1533-position model. Lineage: Bacteria; Bacillati; Actinomycetota; Actinomycetes. The record is from RNAcentral.
UAGGGAAUCUUCCGCAAUGGGCGAAAGCUUGACGGAGCAACGCCGCGUGAGUGAUGAAGGUCUUCGGAUCGUAAAACUCUGUUAUUAGGGAAGAACAAAUGUGUAAGUAACUAUGCACGUCUUGACGGUACCUAAUCAGAAAGCCACGGCUAACUGCGUGCCAGCAGCCGCGGUAAUACGUAGGUGGCAAGCGUUAUCCGGAAUUAUUGGGCGUAAAGCGCGCGUAGGCGGUUUUUUAAGUCUGAUGUGAAAGCCCACGGCUCAACCGUGGAGGGUCAUUGGAAACUGGAAAACUUGAGUGCAGAAGAGGAAAGUGGAAUUCCAUGUGUAGCGGUGAAAUGCGCAGAGAUAUGGAGGAACACCAGUGGCGAAGGCGACUUUCUGGUCUGUAACUGACGCUGAUGUGCGAAAGCGUGGGGAUCAAACAGG